GAACACUGACUUGUCUUCUCUUCUGCUUCCUGCAGUGUGGGGCGCCCACAGGGGCCACCCGGUUGGGGGAACUGCUGCCCUGUGUCUGGGUCAGUCUUCAUCCUGGUAUUUCCUGCUUUUGCUCCUCCUCCUGAUGGAGAUCUUGUAAACUCGAAAUGACUGGAUAUUCAGGGACAGACUUAAUUCAGAAGUGUAGAUGGCUGAGUCACUCGUACUUUUCCCGUUCUACUCUGUGAAAGAAUUGUUCCCUGAAAACCCGAAACUGGUGACAACAGUUGCAAGUAAGACAGGAGUGACUGUGGGAUUCCUGCCUGUUCAUCUUCUCACCUCUGAAUCUCUUCACCUUGGAAAGUUUUUUUUUUUUUUUUGCCUUUUUCCUUUUUAUCGGUACCAGGGAUCAAACUCACAACUGCCUGCUUGCAAGGCAGGCGCUUAUGCCACUGAGCUAAAUCCUCAGCCCCUCACCUUGGAAAGUUUUGCAUCAGCUCCUUGUGAUUAGGGCAUGUCUGGGGUCUCCCACCUUAUUCUGGUUUGGGAUGGAGCUGCUGUGUUUUUGUUUGUUUUGGUGUUUUGAGACAGGAUCUCCCUAUGUAGUUCAGGUUGGUCCUGAACUCACUAUUUAUCCCAGGCUGGCCUCAAACUGACAGCAAUCUUCCUGCCUCGGUUUCUGAGGCUGGAAUUAUAAGCAUGCACCAUCCUGCUUGGCUCUGUUUUUCUCCCUUUUCUGAACAAAAGAAGGUGUACUGUAUAUACUUAAUUGCAUUGUUUAUUUUACUUGAUGCACUGGAGGUCUUUCACGCGAAUGUUAGAGGGUUUGUGGCCUUGGUUGUUGGCCCGAUGCUGCCCCCACGCAUAGUCAAGGGGCUUUGGUACGGUGGACUUAGAAAUAGCUGACCCUAACCCAAAGAUGGACUGAAAUGCUGCACACAUUUUAUGUGCUAGACUCAGAGUCCAGGGGCUUGUUUUCCACAUUAGUUAGCUUGGAAGGGAGACACUGGGGACAACUAAACGUGAACCUACUUCGUUUCAGAGACUCAGGAAAGACCACAGCAAAUGUAUGAGAUAGAGACCUCUAUGUUGGUUGGAAGCAAUGCUUGAAGGCCUGUUGGGGUUUUCCAGGCAUUGAAAACUCAGCAUUCAUGUGCCUGGGACUCCCUGAUAAGCAGGGUUUCUGUCUAAAGUCCAACUGGUGUCAUUGUGUCACAAUGGGGGAGGGGACAGGAGGAAGCGGCUGUCGGCCAGGAAGCCAGACUCCCCGGUCCCUGGGUCCUAGGCAGGCCUGGGAGCCCUUUGCUGGCUGUGAGCAGCUGAUGGAGGUGUUGGUGGGCUGGGCAGGAGGAACUGGAGGGUGUGAAGAUGGGACCACGGAGAGGAAAGCACUCCUGUCUUCCCUGGAGAUCGGCACUUUCUGCCAUUGUCCCUCCCAGGUCUGAGCCAGUUCCGUGACACCACCGUAUGGGCAGCCAAGGGUGGCUAUUGGGACACAGACCUGCCUGUAUAGGGCCCCAGGUGCAUUCCUCUUGCCCUCCCCCACUUUGUCUCAAUUCUGCUCCAGCCUCUGGAAGGAGGCUGUCAUUCUUGGAUCCUGCCUGCCUGGUGUCACUCCGGGCCUUUGAUUGAAAGGCCAGACUUCCAGGAACUGGUUCAGGCUUUGCUGAGGAAGGAAGGGCAAACAGGGAGGGGAUGGAAGCCUCACUGGAGGUCCGGAUUCUAAUAGAGUUGCAAUGUCAAAUUCAUUUGUUAAUCUAACAGAUUUUGGUGUUGACUGGAUUGUGGGUAUUGUGCUAAUUUGGGGGGGGGGUGGUGAGUGAUCUCCCGCUGUGUCAUAACUAUGAGCGUACACAGCUGUGGUGUUAGGUUGCACUCGCUCUCUCUAACAGCUGGAGGGUCCUCAGGUGCCCAGAGGGAAGUUUGGAUACGUUCUUUGAAGAAACCAGAGAUGCUGUCUAGCUUUCCUCUUUUUCCUUCCUUUUAAAAAUUCAAACUAAUGCAACAAGGAAAGCUCUAAUAGUCAACAGCAUAUAUAGAGAAGACAAAGGAUUUCCUAAUAAAGCAGUCAGAGGAAAUAGCUCUUCUCUUGUGGGUGAGGCCCUUUGUGUAGAAUACACAGGGUUUGGUGCAGUCUUUUAUGCAUCUGGAUGAGGGCUGCUUGUGGCUCAUGACAGUCCUCUAGGUACACACUCGGGAUCUUUCUCCAUUUGCAAGGAACUACAGCCUCAGUGACCAAGCAGAAAUGCAAAACAGAGUGUCAGCGCUGUCAUCCAAGCACAACAUGUUUUGGUAGCAUAGGGAGAUACAGAAGCCAGGUGUGGCGCAAGCCCGAGAUCCUAGUACUGGCGAGGCUGAGGCAGGAGGAUUGCCAGGAGUUUGAAGCCAGCCUGGGCUACAUAGCUCAAGAUGAGCUCAAGACCAGCCUGGGCUACAUAGCAAGACCCUGUCUUAACUACCUCCCACUAAUUAACAGGGUACAUAGUAACUUUAAGAAAAAAAAUUUUUUUUGGUCUUUUUUGUUUUACCGGUACCAGGGAUCGAACUCACGACUGCCUGCUUGCAAGGCAGGCACUUACGUUGCUGAGCUAAAUCCCCAGCCCCUUGAAGAAAAAUUUUUUAAAAAAAUUAGUUAUACAUGUGUGUAGCCAGUGCAGUGGUGAAUGCCUCUAAUCCUAGCACGUGGGGCUGUAGCAGGAGGAUUGUCAUAAACUCAAGGCCAGUCUGGGCUACAUAGUUUAAGGCCAGCCUGAACUAUAGUGAGAUGCUGCCUCAAAACAAAACAAAACAAAACAAAAUGAAAACCUAAAGUGAUAUGUAUGUAUGUAUGUAUGGUAAAAUAUGUAUUAAGUAGCUAGACAUUAUAGUGAACACUUCUGAUGUCAGCAUUUAGGUGAUAGGAAGAUCAUGAGUUCUAGACCAGUGUGAACUAUAUAGCAAAACCUUGCUCCCUACCCCCCAAAAAAGCGCCUUUAAACAAGAGUCAUUCUAUAGUAUUCUACUCCAUGUCUGUAUCAUAAUUUAUGAAUCAUUCCCUUUAGGGUUUUUCCCCUUGCUUUACUAAAUAACAUUAAUCUUUAAAUUUAUCUUUGAUAUUUUCUUAGGCUAUAUUCCUGAAAGUGUUUUUUUUUUUUUUUUUCUUUUUCUUUUUGUAAAUGGGGAUUGAAUUUAGGGGUACUGUACCACUGAGCUACAUCCUUAGUCCUUUACAAUUUUAAAAAUUUCUAUUUUGAGACAAUGUCUCAAUAAGUUACCCAGGCUGGAUGAGAAUUUGGAAUCCUCCUGCCUCCAUAUGCUAGUACCUGGGAUGACCCUGUGACUACUGAGAGGUUUUUUGGGGGAGGGGAGAGAGAGGAAGGCUGUUGAUGUGUAGGUCAGGUUGACCUUGAACAAACUAUGGAGGCCAGGCUGGCUUUGAACUCAGUGAUCCUCUUGUCUCAGCCUCCCAAGUGCUGGGAUUAUAGGUGUAUACCACUACACUCACCCUGAUGUUUUGGUUUUUUUUCGGAGACAGGGUCUCUGCUAUGUAGUCCAGGCUGCCUUCAUACUUACUAUGUAACUCAGAAUGGCUUCAAAUUCAUGGUGAAGGGAUUUAGCUCAAUGGCAUAAGCGCCUAUCUGGCAACCAAGAGGUCUUGAGUUCUAUCCCUGGCGCGCACACACACACACACACAAUUGGUACAAAUUCAUGGUGAUCAUUUUGUCUCAGCCUUUCAAAUGUUGAGAUUGCAGGCUCAAAACCACACCUGCUUUUGAGAGAUUAAUUUUGACUGAGGAAAAUCACAGUAAUCAGGGGACAUUUGAACAGCACCUUGAAAAAAAGAUAGGAUUUCCUGGCUUGCCCAGUGGAGGAGAUGACAUAGUAAUUUUAGAGGAUUGGAAUUGGGCAGAUAUGGGUUAAGACCUUACUAUUUGUAGCUGUGUGAUUUGAGGCAACUGUUACAAAUCUCAGUUUUCUUCUUACAAAUUGGGAUGGUAGCCAGGUGUGGUGUGGCACACGCGUAAUCCCAGCACUCUGAGGGGCUGAGGCAGGAGGGUCCCAAGUUCAAGCUCAGCCUGGGCAACUGAACAGUUCAGGAGAUUCUGUAUUAAAGGGGACAGGGUGAGGUGAGGAUGUAGCUCAGUGCACAGGCUUUGGGUUCAGUCCCCUGCACCACAGAAAGGAAGGGGCGAUGAUAACAACAGGAUUUGUCUCAGGAUUUUUGUGAUAAUUUAAUGAGAAAAUCCAUAAAAGGCACUGACCAAAGUGUGCAGGAGCAGUAUGCUACCCUUUUGGCAGUCAUUAGACUCUCCUGAGAUUCAAGGGGAGGAAUCAUAGAUUAGUCACAAAGUAAGAAAACUGUGUGGGAGAAGGUAAAUAGAUAGGCAUGACCAUUUGGAAAGUACAAGGCACAUAAUGAUUAAUGAUUUCCAGGAGUUCUACCAUCGGUCCACUGAGUUACAUGCUUAUACAGUAGCCACCUCAUCCUUUGUGAUACCUUUUUGUUUGUUUGUUUGUUUGUUUUUGAGACAGGAUUUCACAUAUGUUUCAGACUGGCCUUGAACUCAUUAUGUAGACCUAGCUGUUCUUUUACGUCUGGUGCUCUUCCUGUCUUUGCCUCCUCAGUGUGGGGAUGAUAAGUGUGUGCCACCACGACUGGCUUCCUUUUUUCUAUUUUUUACUUUGAGAUAGGGUCUAGCGAAGUUGCUGAGUUGCCCAGACUGAGUUUAAACUUGGAACCCUCCUGCCUCAGCUUUCCAGAGUACUGGAAUUACAGGACUGUUUCUGUGCCAGUUCAAAUUGAUCCACCUUGACUUUGGGGCGGCAAUGUGCAUUGUCCACAAAGCUGUGGUGGUUGGUGCAGUAUCAUGCACUGGAAUCAGGUUACCCAGGUUACAAUCUUAUUUCUGUCACCCACUGGUUCUGUGACCUUGAGCAAAUCACUUAAUUUCUGUGCCCCAAUUGAUUCCUGUGUUAAGAUGGGAGCAAUAAACAGCAUCUAUCUCAGAGUACUGUUGCGAGGAUUUAUUUCUUUAUUUAUUUAUUUUAUUGGUACCGGGGAUUGAACUCACUGAAAGGCAGGCGCUUAUGCCGUUGAGCUAAAUCCCCAGCCCCUGUGUUGCGAGGAUUUAAUAAACCAUGACAGGGCUCAAAAGAAUAUCUUGAACAUAGUGUUCAAAAAUUUAGCUGCUCUGGUUAUUUUACUCAUGGCUUUCCUGGUGUACUAGUAAUGUGUAAAGAGAAAGGGUAGGGAGUGCCUGCCACCAACCCUCCGCUGUCAGAUCUCUCAACGCACUGUAGUGACGCUUUGUGUGCACGGGUACCUCUCACCUACCAGACCAGGAACUUCUGGGAGCAGAGAACAUCAGUUGUUUACUAUUUGGAGUCCUCAACCCCUAGCACAACGCCUGGUACAAGAUGGCAUUCAGUAAAUGUUUGCUAAAGAGCCUAGUGCAGUGACCUUUUAGAGCAUUCUUUUUUUAAACUUUUUUUUUGGUCUUUUGAGAAAGGAUCUUGUUAUGUAGUUCAGGAUGGGCUUGAAUUUACCACGUAGCCCAGGCUAACCUCACUCAAGCGAUCCUCCUGCCUCAGCCUCCCAAGUGCUGGGAUUACAGAUGUAUACCACCAUGCCCAGCCCUCUGUUUAGAACUUUCAAUGAUACAAACAGCCCAUUGCUUCAUGCAUGCCAUAGGUUUACCACCACUGGAAUAGAGCAUUAUUAACAACUGAGGUCAUAGCCGACAGUCUGUUAAUUAAGGUUUACCUCAAAGAUGAGUCCUAGAUUGUACCCCAGAACCUUCACUGAGCUGCAUCCCUCGCUCUUUUAUUUUUAUUUUUUUAUUUUGGGACAGUGUUCUGCUAAUACACACAUUCUGAGUGUCUUUGUGUUCUAAUAUUCUCUUCUUACAGGGAUACCAGGGGUCACAUUUGAACAUAAUUCCUACUCUCAAGGCCCUGUCUUUUAGUAGUCACACUUUGAAGUACUGAGAAGUCUGACAUAAGAAUUUUUGGGAAAUAUUUAGUUCACAAUAACCACAAAUCAUUUUGAAGUUCACCUCUGCCAAAAGGAGCUAAAGUCUGCCCAGGGUAGAGGUGGGGUCUUCGCAGUUUGCUUGGAAUUUCUUGGUUGCACUUGUCAUGAGGACAGUGAAAAUGGGUGCUUCCCCCCACCCCCUACUUUACCAUAUCAUUUAAUCUUUUUUUUUUCAAGCAAGAUCUCACUAUGUAGUCCAGGCUGUCCUGGAACUCUUAAGGUGAUCCUCCUGCCUCAGCCUCAUGAGUGCUAAGAUUACAGAUGUGUGUGCUACCAUGUCUGGCUGUUUCGAUUUCAAACUGACCCCUUCUCUAGGACCUACCGGGUGACAAUCCUAGCUGUGAUGCAAUCCAGAGGACUGAGCUACUUCUCUAGGCCAGUAUGGCACAGGUGCCUCAAUGGGCUGUUUGUAUCAUUGAAAGCUCUAAAAUGUUCACUCUAGGUAUUGUCUGAGGCCCAGAGAAAACCUGCCCAGCUGACGUUUAAAAAUUUUUUAGAAGGGGCUUUGCUAAGUCAUUAAAUUCUCCAAGGUGGGAUCACACUUUUGUAUUCCUACUUUGACCUCCCAGUGUGCUGGGAUUAAGUGGUAUACACCACCAUGCCUGGCACGGUAUUAAACUUUUGAAAAGAUCAGGCCUUGGUUUUCCUUUGUUUGGUCAUACCCCCUUCUGCUAGUUUAAAAUUUGGACUUAGCCAGGGACAGUAGCAUGUGCCUGGAACCCUAACACUCUUAAGAAGCUGAGGCAAGAGGCUCAUAAAAUCAAGGUCAACCUGGGCAGUUUAACAAUUUACUAAAACCCUGUUUCAAAAUAAAAACUAGAAACAAGGGCUGGUGAUGUAACUCAAUGGGAAGUCCCCAGAUUCAAUCCCAGGGGCCAGGUCCAGGGAUAAUAGUUUCAAUUUCUAGUACUGGGGGCGGGGGGGAGGAAGAAAAUAAAAAGAAAGAAAAAACAAAACAAAUCAAUCCCAGGUGCCAGAAAGAGAAGUGAGUGGAGAGCGUAUCUUCACAAAGAAAGGUUAACUAGUAGACCGUCUGCAGUGACCUAUUUGUUGAGCAGACAUUUACUGAAUGUCAGCUUGUACCAGGUGUUAGGCUAAGGGUUGAGGACUCAGAAUAAUAAGUAACAUGCUCUGUGCUUCCUGGGGGUUUAUGUCACAUAAGGUCACAGACAAGGUGUGUGCAGGGCUUGCACUUGGACAGUGUUUUGCAGGCGAUAAUGAAAGCCUAGGAAGAGGCUUUAAGCUGGCUGAGGUGAGGUUGGGUGUGGUAGGUCUUUUCCUGGAAAAGAAUGUAGAGGAACAGGUGUCAGUCAGAUAAAGAGGGAAGAGGAUGUUCCACAUAGCAGAAAUAGCUGAGCAGAGGCAGAGAUAGUGAGGCAACUGGGUCUCUGCUGUGAAGUGUAAGUGGUUGGAUGCUGCGGGAGGGUAAACUGCUGUAGGAGAGUAGGUGAGAAAAGAUAAGUGUAUCAGGAAGCCCUGUAGUGUUGAAACUUUGUAGCUUGCUGGUAAAUCUGGAUUUUAUCUUAUAGGCAAUGCAGAAUCAUCAAACCUUUGAAGCCCAGCCAGGUGUGGUGGCACGGGCUAGCAAUCCCAGCCCUUGGGAAGCCAAAGCAGGGGGAUUGUGAGUUCUUGGGCUAUAAUAGCAACGCCUCCCCUCCAGCCCCACCUGAAGCUUUUUAUGGAUCUGCCUUUAUAGGAAGGCUUUAUAGUACACAGUACCACAGGCUCUCGAUUGGACCAUAUUUGUUCAGGUUUGCACCAUUACUCACUAUUGAGCAUUCAACAAUUUUCUUAACUGCUCUAAGCGUCGGUUUUCUUAUAGAAUAUAGCAAAGAACCUGUUAUUUAUUCUUAUGUAGAAAAUAGUAAUACUGUCAUCCACCUCUGAAGUUGGACAGGGAUUAAAGGAUGGCCCAUAUCAUAGCCUCACAACCAUGCCCAGCAUUCAGGAAGUGCCCACCAACCCUUAGCUUUCCAUUUGGCCAUGGAGUGGAGGUUGGAUUUCCUGUACAUGGAAAUGGCCAAGCAAGCCAAAAAUCUACUGAUGCUUUUAACUUUGUAGCUCUACUCAUUGUGACUACACAUUAAACUUUAUAAUAGAAAGCCUCCAGUGCCCUUGCAUUUUGGUUAACCAUGUGCACCCCGUCAUUUGUACGUGUGUGCACUGUAAGGCAAAUAUAGUCCCAGGGUUAACUGCAAAAGGGGAGCGGUGCUGGUUCCAGGGAGGAUGUAGAACAGAUGAGGAGGCGGGCAGGGAACUUGCUGUCCUCCUGUAGAUGUGGCCCUGUGAGGGGGAGCUCUGGGCUCUGCUGUCCACCUGUGAAGGAACCAGGAGUGUGAGCCUCAUCGACGUGGCCACAGUGACAGAUGGAGAGGGCUUGUGGGGCUGGAGUCCCAGCACUUUGCAGACAGUAUUCAUUAUUUAUUUAUACAUACGUCUUGUUAAGAAAACUUUGAAGUCCAAAAGAGAAGUAUACAUAGAACAGCCUGUGGGUGACUGGUAGUAAUGGGGUGCAGUACUUACCUGGUACUUCCUGUUGGUCACAGUCACGCACUGUCCUUAGCACUUUAUUUGUGUUAGCUUGUUUAACCCUCACUAUAGGGCUUUGAUGUAGAAACUGUUAUUAUCCCCAUUUUACAGACAGGCAAACUGAAGUCCAAGAUGGUUAAGUGGCCUGCCUGGGUCACAUGGUCAAGUAAGACAGAGGCUCAUUCGGGAAUUGGAAGGGGAAUAAAUGUGGACCAGUAUGUCUGAGGUGUGCUGUGAUGAGAGCAGGGCAGGUACAUGGGCUGGAUUUGACCUGUCAGUGAUAGGCAGUGGCCCCAUUAGGCCACAGCAGAUGGGCACCUUUGGGCCUGGAGGUGAAGGUCUCUGUUAGUAACAAGAAGCCCAUGGUAUGAGCUGGGCAUGGUGGCUUAAGCCUGUAGUCCCAGAACUCAGGAGGCUGAGGCAGGAGAACUGCUGCAAGUUGGAGGCCAACCUGGGCUAUACAGCGGGAUCCUGUUUCAAAAAGGAAAAAAAAAAAAGGCUCACCAUCAGGAUUAGUGAGGAGAGGGGUGCAUGCCUGAGACCUGGCAUGUCGUGCUUGUCUGUGUGUGAUUCCCAAGUGCGUUUGAGGUCUGAUGUUUCAGCAUGUCACUGGACAGGGCCCAAAGAGGCCCCACAAGUGGGUUGUAGGUAGAACACAUAAAGAAGUUUCUUAGGUGGAAUUUAAAGACUUAAAGUGUAGGCCUUCUAGGGCUGGAGAUUUAGCUCAGCGGCAUAAGCGCCUGCCUUGCAAGCAGGCAAUCAUGAGUUUGAUCCCCGGUACCGAUAAAAAGGAAAAAGACAAAAAAACAAAACAAAACAAAAAAAAAGUGUAGGCCCUCUAGAGAGCUGAGAAUAUGUAUGUGUUUCUGUGCACUCUAUGGCAGGUUUGGGUGUGGUUGGCUCCAGGAAGUAGGAUAAUGGCUUAUUUUCCGGGUGAAAGGAUUGAAGGGUUUUCUGGAGGAAGGCAGGCUCCACACUCCACUUGUUUUUCAAAGGUGUAUGAUUUAUUUUCCAAAAAUAGUCUUUAAAACUUUUGGAUCUACUUCUGUAUAUAAUACUCAUUUGUGUCCUUUGUGGAUUUACAAUGUCUUUUAAUGGAUUUUGGGUGUGAUAGGGCUGGAUGAAAAGAAUAAACCAGCCUAGGGAGAACAGAUAUGGAUAGCCUUGGAUACCACUCUGUGUCUCCUGAUGUUAUAGUCAGUCUGGAGACAGGGUUGCAUGUAGUUCAGCUUGGCCUCAAACUCCCAGCAAGCUUCCUGCCUCAGCCUCCCAAGUGCUGGCAUUACAUGUGUGUGCCACCACACCUGGCAGAAGUUGUAGUCUUCUUAAAAGUACAAUUUUUAAAUUGUGAUUUUUUUCCUUAUCUAUUUUUUUUUAAGCCUAUCUAUUUCUUCUAUUUCAGAACUCUACAAAGAACUCAGAAGUGAAUUAGAACCAGCAGCUUCCUAGACUGUGGUGGGGGGUGUGUCUCAAAAGCUGGUUUUUAGUUUAAUUACACGCUGUUCAUUAUUUGGGUGGUGUCAGGUUGGGAUCUUGAGGAGCUGCCUCUGAGAUACCAAUUAUCAUAGAAGAUGUUUAUUAGGGAGAACUCCUAGGACCCACGGUGAGGGAGAGGAUAGAAGUAAGAGUGGCUGAGGGAGAGUUACACUGUAAUCUCAGUGAGGCUCGGCAUUGUGGGGCUGUGGGCCACAGCUCCCGGGGCAGGAAAGCUGGGCCAUAGAACUGGGACUGACAGUUCCACCUCCUGUCACUAGUCAGACGCUAGGAUCCGGCAACCUCGCAGAUGACUGCAGCCUGGAGCCCACAAUGCGACACUGAGUCCUUGAUUCCCAGCACACUUCACAUUGCAGAAGCCAAGUGUUCACUUUAAAAAGCUUGGAAAAACAAGGCUCCCGUCAGCAAAACAGGGAAGGCAGACAUGCAAGUCCAGGCAUUUGUAUUAGCAUUCUCAGUAAAGGCUGAGUAAGAGCGCUCCACACCCUUAGGAGUUGUUUCCAAUAAACUAAGGGCCAUGUGGUUUACUUUCUGCAUUUGUUAUUAUCUGAGUUCAGAAUUACUGGCAUUAAAAAGGUAGUGAGAAAUAUACAAAGUAGCAGGUACAAAGUAAUAUUAAAAACAAAUUCAUAGGGCCAGGGAUUUAGUUCAGUGGCAGAAGUGCCUGCCUGGCAAGCACGAGGUCAUAAGUUUGAUCCCCAGUACCAAAACAACAACAACAACAACAAAUUCAUAGAUUAAAAUCAACUUGCUUUUUAAAAGAACAGCAUUUUAUGAGCUGGUCACGGUGGCACAUGCUUGUAAUCCCAGCAGUUGGAAGAUUGAGGCAGGAGGAUUCCUGAGUUCAAGACUGACUUGGGCUACAUAGGGAGAUGCUGUCUGAAAGCAAAAAUUGAAAGAAUACAUUUUGUUACAUAGUUUACCUUCAUUAAGCCAGGGGCCCUUUCAGAAACAGCAUGGUUUAUUGUACCAAUAACAGAAGGUAUAGGAAAAAAAGCUGGCAGGCUAAGGCAGAUGGAUUGCACAAAUUUGAGUUCAGCAUGGGGAAUUUAGCAACUUAGACCCUCCAAGUAAACAAAGGGCUGAGGAUGUAAUUCAUUCUAAAGGGCCUGUUAUCCCAGCACUGUCUGAUGUAGGAGAACUGUGAGUCCAAAGCCAGCCUGGGUUAUAUAUAUAGUGAGGUUGAGACUCAUCAAGACUACAUAGUAAGAUCCUGGUUUUAAAAAAAGGAAGGAAAGAGGAAGGAUGGAGGGUUUUGAGAGGAACUUGUACACUGUUUUAUUUUUUUAUUUUUAUUUUUAUUUAUUUAUUUUUUUGUCUUUUUCAUUUUUUAUCGGUACCGGGGAUCGAACUCACGACCGCCUGCUUGCAAGGCAGGUGCUUACGCCGCUGAGCUAAAUCCCCAGCCCCUACACUGUUUUAGCUUUGCCAUUUUCUUGCCAUGAAACUCUGGGUCAGCCACUUAACCUUUGAGACACUUACUGGGGGAGAAUAUUAUCUGUACUAAUUCCCAGUGAUGAUGUAUCAGGUUGAAAUAAAUGUAUCUAAACACUCUAUCUGGCCAUGGUGGUGCAUACCUGUAAUCCCAGGAUUUGGGAGGCUGAGACGAAGAGUAUAAGGCUAGCCUGAACCACACAGUUCUCAAGAAACACCCUCCACCCAAAAAACCAAACUUCUAAACAUUGAUGCCAGAGCAGGGGAUUUGGUGGGAGGGAUGACCCAAAAGAAUUUGGAGACAUCCAGUUCAAACCCCUCAUAUUUCAAGUAAGGAAGGAGAACCUCAGUUGUCAAGAGACCAUGUUGAGGGGGCUGGGGAUUUAUUUAGCUCAGCGGCAUAAGCGCCUGCCUUGCAAGCAGGCAGUCGUGAGUUUGAUCCCUGGUACUGAUAAAAAUGAAAAAGACAAAAAAAAAAAAAAAAAAAAAAAAAAGAAAGAAAAGAAAAGAAAAGAGAGAC
Molecule: long non-coding RNA, 11978 nt
Organism: Cavia porcellus (domestic guinea pig)
Lineage: Eukaryota; Metazoa; Chordata; Mammalia; Rodentia; Caviidae
Exons: 2
Source: RefSeq, a predicted model, not a curated record